RNAcentral lists this ribosomal RNA (253 nucleotides) under uncultured bacterium. Its description in RNAcentral is "partial 16S ribosomal RNA". It matches the Rfam family "Bacterial small subunit ribosomal RNA", at positions 524 to 776 of the family's 1533-position model. The record is from RNAcentral. RNAcentral also lists the same sequence under 1 other name.
GACGGAGGAUGCAAGUGUUAUCCGGAAUCACUGGGCGUAAAGGGUCUGUAGGUGGUUUUUUAAGUCUGCUGUUAAAGCUUGAAGCUCAACUUCAAAAAUGCAUCGGAAACUAGAAGACUUGAGUAUGGUAGGGGUAGAGGGAAUUUCCAGUGAAGUGGUGAAAUGCGUAGAUAUUGGAAAGACCACCAAAGGCGAAGGCACUCUACUGGGCCACAACUGACACUGAGAGACGAAAGCUAGGGGAGCGAAUGGG